UGGCGGCGUGGAUAAGACAUGCAAGUCGAACGGAACACCAUGAGUAGCAAUACGAGUGGUGUUUAGUGGCGAACGGGUGCGUAACACGUGGAUACAUUCCGGGAAGCGGGGGAUAGCCCAGGGAAACUUGGAUUAAUACCGCAUGUGGUCGAAAGACUAAAGACGGGGACCGCAAGGCCUGUCACUUCCCGAUUGGUCCGCGGCCUAUCAGCUAGUUGGCGGGGUAAAAGCCCACCAAGGCUACGACGGGUAGCUGGUCUUAGAGGACGACCAGCCACACUGGAACUGAGACACGGUCCAGACACCUACGGGUGGCAGCAGUCGAGAAUCUUUCACAAUGGGGGCAACCCUGAUGGAGCGACGCCGCGUGGAGGAUAAGGUCUUCGGAUUGUAAACUCCUGUCAUGCGCGGACAAGGUUGCAGGGUUAAUAACUCUGCAAAUUGAUGGUACCGCAAGAGGAAGAGACGGCUAACUCUGUGCCAGUAGCCGCGGUAAUACAGAGGUCUCAAGCGUUGUUCGGAAUCACUGGGCGUAAAGGGUGCGUAGGUGGCUUGGUAAGUCAGAUGUGAAAGCCCGGGGCUCAACUCCGGAAUUGCAUCCGAUACUGCCGAGCUAGAGUACUGAAGGGGAAACUAGAAUUCUCGGUGUAGCAGUGAAAUGCGUAGAUAUCGAGAGGAAUACCAAAGGCGAAGGCAGGUUUCUUGGCAGUUACUGACACUGAGGCACGAAGGCCAGGGGAGCAAACGGGAUUAGAUACCCCGGUAGUCCUGGCAGUAAACGGUGCACACUUGGUGUGGGGGAAUUCGACCUCUUCCGCGCCGGAGCUAACGCGUUAAGUGUGCCGCCUGGGAAGUACGGUCGCAAGAUUA
RNAcentral lists this ribosomal RNA (870 nucleotides) under uncultured bacterium. Its description in RNAcentral is "bacterial SSU rRNA". It matches the Rfam family "Bacterial small subunit ribosomal RNA", at positions 37 to 896 of the family's 1533-position model. The record is from RNAcentral.